GGCUCAGAUUGAACGCUGGCGGCAGGCCUAACACAUGCAAGUCGAGCGAGAAAGCCUUCGGGUGAGUACAGCGGCGGACGGGUGAGUAACGCGUAGGAAUCUACCUGGUAGUGGGGGACAACAUGGGGAAACCCAUGCUAAUACCGCAUACGCCCUAGUGGGGGAAAGCGGGGGACCUUCGGGCCUCGCGCUAUCAGGAUGAGCCUGCGUAGGAUUAGCUUGUUGGUGAGGUAAAGGCUCACCAAGGCGACGAUCCUUAGCUGGUCUGAGAGGAUGAUCAGCCACACUGGAACUGAGACACGGUCCAGACUCCUACGGGAGGCAGCAGUGGGGAAUAUUGCGCAAUGGGCGAAAGCCUGACGCAGCCAUGCCGCGUGUGUGAAGAAGGCCUUCGGGUUGUAAAGCACUUUCAAUUGGGAAGAAAGGUUGGUAGUUAAUAACUGCCAGCUGUGACGUUACCUUUAGAAGAAGCACCGGCUAACUCCGUG
This 488-nucleotide ribosomal RNA is filed under the name uncultured bacterium. RNAcentral's name for it is "bacterial SSU rRNA". It matches the Rfam family "Bacterial small subunit ribosomal RNA", at positions 21 to 507 of the family's 1533-position model. The record is from RNAcentral.